CACGUAGGGGGCAAGCGUUGUCCGGAUUUAUUGGGCGUAAAGAGCUCGUAGGCGGUUCGGUAAGUCGGGUGUGAAACCUCCAGGCUCAACCUGGAGACGCCACCCGAUACUGCUGUGACUAGAGUCCGGUAGGGGAGCGUGGAAUUCCUGGUGUAGCGGUGAAAUGCGCAGAUAUCAGGAGGAACACCAGCGGCGAAGGCGGGUUGCUGGGCUGACACUGACGCUGAGGCGCGAAAGCUAGGGGAGCGAACGGG
Molecule: ribosomal RNA, 254 nt
Filed under: uncultured bacterium
Lineage: Bacteria
Description: partial 16S ribosomal RNA
Rfam family: Bacterial small subunit ribosomal RNA
Source: RNAcentral